AGCUUUGCGCAGUGGCAGUAUCAUAGCCAAUGAGGUUUAUCCGAGGCGCGAUUAUUGUUAAUUAAAAAUAUAAAAAGACAUAAAGUGUGGCAUCAAUAACCUAAAAUGUGUAGAGGUAGAAGGAAAUGUCUAGAGUUUUACAUGCAAU
Neogale vison (American mink) is the source of this 148-nucleotide small nuclear RNA. RefSeq annotates it as U4 spliceosomal RNA. The transcript has a single exon. NCBI's taxonomy places the organism in Eukaryota, Metazoa, Chordata, Mammalia, Carnivora, Mustelidae. The record is from RefSeq and is a predicted model, not a curated record.